This 1028-nucleotide long non-coding RNA is filed under the name Neogobius melanostomus (round goby). Its description in RNAcentral is "lncRNA (ENSNMLG00000010353.1)". The record is from RNAcentral. Lineage: Eukaryota; Metazoa; Chordata; Actinopteri; Gobiiformes; Gobiidae.
UAUAUCAUAUCUGUUGUUUAAUAAUGAUAAACAAUGUUACAUGCUCCACCUUUAACACUUGGGUUUAUAGAGGUGACCUACAGCCAACUCGAAUUCAAAGAGAGGAGAAAACGAGGGAGAGAACCAGACGUCAUGUACUCCAGUGUUAUUGCACAGUCAGCAGCAGAUGUGGACGGCAUGUACGCUCAGAUCAACCACUACAGAAAACGGAAAGCCACAGACAGAUCAGAAGGUAACGUGGAUUCUCUGUCCACAGUGAAACCACCGGAUCCAUCUGUGGAAGAAACGGUUUACUCUGAGGUCAAAAGGACCUCAGGUCUUACAGGAGCUCCGGACUGUGUGGGACUGUAGCCUUUCCUCAUAACUGUGCCUUAGAUCUGCCCAUCUUAUUAUUAUUUAUCCUGAGCUGAACUGCUGUACUGCUGUAAGCUGGAGUGAAACCGUUGGUUGCUUGUUUUUAUACUUGACUUUAAUGUCCCUGACCUCUCUGGUGAGCUCCUUGGCCUUCAUGAUGUUGUUUAGUGACCAAUACACUCUGACCAUAGCUCUGAGGCCCUCACAGAACAGCUGGAAUUAUACUGAGAGUAGAUUACACACAGGUGGCCUCUAUUUAAUGGUUAGGGCAAGGUGUGAACAUUCUGCAGUCAUUAGGAAUGUUAUAAAGGCAAUUUAAUGCACUCAGAAAAUGCUGCAUGAAUACUUAUGCACGCCUCACUUUUCACUUUUCUAUUGUUUGUAAAAUAACAGAAUCAUGUAUCAUUUUGCUUUCACUUCACAGUUGUCUGUUACUUGUGUGUGAACUUUCAGUAAAAAAUUCAAAAUAAAAUCUUUAUGUUUAUGGUUGUAAACAUGACAAAAUGUGCAAAAGUUCAAGGUGUAUUAGUACUUUCGCAAGGCACUGUAUUUUAUCCUGAGCUGAACUGCUGUACUGCUGUAAGCUGGAGUGAAACCGUUGGUUGCUUGUUUUUAUACUUGACUUUAAUGUCGCUUUGUAAAUAUUGCAUCAGUGAAACAUGUUUAGGCAAAAG